GGCCCCCGGAUCCUCGGGUCUCCCGCUCGCGGGAGGCUGCCCGCCGGAGUGCCGAAACCAAACUCUUGAUAUUUUAUGUCUCUCUGAGUAAACUUUUAAAUAAGUCAAAACUUUCAACAACGGAUCUCUUGGUUCUGGCAUCGAUGAAGAACGCAGCGAAAUGCGAUAAGUAAUGUGAAUUGCAGAAUUCAGUGAAUCAUCGAAUCUUUGAACGCACAUUGCGCUCGCCAGUAUUCUGGCGAGCAUGCCUGUUCGAGCGUCAUUUCAACCAUCAAGCUCUGCUUGCGUUGGGGAUCCGCGUCUGACGCGGUCCCUCAAAAACAGUGGCGGGCUCGCUAGUCACACCGAGCGUAGUAACUCUACAUCGCUAUGGUCGUGCGGCGGGUUCUUGCCGUAAAACCCCCAAUUUCUAAGGUUGACCUCGGAUCAGGUAGGAAUACCCGCUGAACUUAAGCAUAUCAAUAAGCGGAGGAAAAGAAACCAACAGGGAUUGCCCUAGUAACGGCGAGUGAAGCGGCAACAGCUCAAAUUUGAAAUCUGGCUUCGGCCCGAGUUGUAAUUUGUAGAGGAAACUUUUGGUGAGGCACCUUCUGAGUCCCUUGGAACAGGGCGCCAUAGAGGGUGAGAGCCCCGUAUAGUCGGAUGCCGAUCCAAUGUAAAGUUCCUUCGACGAGUCGAGUAGUUUGGGAAUGCUGCUCAAAAUGGGAGGUAAAUUUCUUCUAAAGCUAAAUAUAGGCCAGAGACCGAUAGCGCACAAGUAGAGUGAUCGAAAGAUGAAAAGCACUUUGAAAAGAGGGUUAAAUAGCACGUGAAAUUGUUGAAAGGGAAGCGUUUGUGACCAGACUUGCGCCGUUCCGAUCAUCCGGUGUUCUCACCGGUGCACUCGGGGCGGCUCAGGCCAGCAUCGGUUUUGGUGGGGGGAUAAAGGUCCAGGGAA
This 937-nucleotide ribosomal RNA is filed under the name Sordariomycetes sp. Its description in RNAcentral is "eukaryotic LSU rRNA". The stretch from base 417 to 937 matches the Rfam family "Eukaryotic large subunit ribosomal RNA", at positions 1 to 534 of the family's 3401-position model. The record is from RNAcentral. Lineage: Eukaryota; Fungi; Ascomycota; Sordariomycetes.